AUUCUAUCUGCUGAGCUUCUCCAACCCACUGGUAAACACUACCCUGCUGGAGAACAGCACUGCUGUGAGGAUGGAGAAAGACAGUUUUCAGGUAAAUUCAUGCUGGCCAUGAUGAUGGCUCAGGGCUGCUGAUUCUCCUGGAGGAGAUUCUACUGAAUUGUGAUUUUCAACAUCUUGUUCUUGGCAUCUAAAAAAGAAGUCAGGUGAACAGGACAAAGUAGAAGUUGAGGUGCCUCAAGAGAUGUCAUGGUAGCUCAAACCCACAUAAAAUCACAUCUGGAACCUCCAAGGUCUAUAAUUACAGAACCAAGCCAUGAGAACAUGGUUUACUGUAACCCUAAGAAUUAGACAAUACAAAGAAUGACUCAACUUCAGUCUACCUUCUUAGGAAGCUGCAGGACAAACCACAAAGCCUGAAAUACAGAAAGGUUCCCUGUUUACCUGAUGACCCUGGUUAAAUGAACACUCAGGUACUGAUUUAAGAAAAUUAAAUCUAAAGAAUCAGAAAUAACGGAAGAAUAGCAAAUUUAUACAUGACACAUGUGUUUCUUGUUAAGAAAUAAUUAAAAGCAUUACUGAUAAAUAACCAAGUUGGAUUAUUCCAAAAAUGUCACAUGUAAUCUUAA
RNAcentral lists this long non-coding RNA (626 nucleotides) under Sus scrofa (pig). RNAcentral's name for it is "lncRNA (ENSSSCG00060070836.1)". The record is from RNAcentral. Lineage: Eukaryota; Metazoa; Chordata; Mammalia; Artiodactyla; Suidae.